GCAAUCUCAUGGGGGGGAAUCUUGGAUGGGACUCG
RNAcentral lists this unclassified non-coding RNA (35 nucleotides) under Riccardoella reaumuri. RNAcentral's name for it is "partial miscellaneous RNA". The record is from RNAcentral. Lineage: Eukaryota; Metazoa; Arthropoda; Arachnida; Trombidiformes; Ereynetidae.